Molecule: long non-coding RNA, 330 nt
Organism: Gossypium arboreum
Lineage: Eukaryota; Viridiplantae; Streptophyta; Magnoliopsida; Malvales; Malvaceae
Exons: 2
Source: RefSeq, a predicted model, not a curated record
AUGAUCUGUAGGUGUGGUUGGCCGAAUAUUGUAAGGGGUUAAUACGUAGUUUGUAUUUGAAUAGUUAGAUUAACGUGUUAGUAAUCCAAUUGUAGGCGGUUCGUGUGUGGAUCUCGUCAACAUAUCGUCGCAAACAGGAAAUCCCCAACCAUAGUGGGCUUGGAGCUGUGAGGGAAUUCGGAGUGGCCACCCGUUCUGAAAGUUUGAUUUUCUUCUGGUGAACUGGACAUUCUUUUAUUUACGUUUGAAGUUUUGGGUUUUUAAAUGUAAUAAGGCUGCUUAAUUAUUUUUGAUGGUUUUAAUAUGUAUUACUAAGAUAGGCAUUACUUA